AUACGGGUAAUGUUGUCGCUGGCCUUGUAACUUGUAAACUAAGUUAGAGGCAUGUGCACGCUCUCCUGAGGACCUCUUCGACGUCUCUCAUCUCAUCCCUCUCACCUGUGCACCUAAUGUAGGUCUGCAUGGUUUUGGUAAACACUGGAACCAUGCUAGAGCCUCUCUCUCUGCGGGGGGAAAGGACAAAGUACCUAUGUCUUCAAAUACAUCUUCGUGUAGAAAGUCUUUGAAUGUUUAUUAUCAUAGAGUCACGACUUCUAGGAGACGUGGGUCUUUGAGUUAAAAGUUAUUACAACUUUCAGCAAUGGAUCUCUUGGCUCUCGCAUCGAUGAAGAACGCAGCGAAACGCGAUAUGUAAUGUGAAUUGCAGAUCUACAGUGAAUCAUCGAAUCUUUGAACGCACCUUGCGCUCCUUGGUAUUCCGAGGAGCAUGCCUGUUUGAGUGUCAGUAAUUUCUCAACCCCUUUUGAUUAGAUUCAAGAGGGAGCUUGGAUAGUGGGGGUUUGCUGGAGACUUGGGCUUUUACUAGUAAAAGUCUAGGAUUCGAGCUCUCCUGAAAUGCAUCGGCUUGCGGUCAACCUUGGACUUUGCGUGAAAAGGCUUUCGGCGUGAUAAUGAUCGCCGUGUGCUGAAGCGCAUGAAAAAGGCUCCAUGUCCGUGCCUCUAAUACGUC
Molecule: ribosomal RNA, 676 nt
Filed under: uncultured Rhizopogon
Lineage: Eukaryota; Fungi; Basidiomycota; Agaricomycetes; Boletales; Rhizopogonaceae
Description: eukaryotic LSU rRNA
Rfam family: 5.8S ribosomal RNA (bases 297-451)
Source: RNAcentral